AAGAGGGAACCCGGUGCGAAUCCGGGACUGCCCCGCAGCGGUAUGGGGGAACGAGCGUCGCCAUAAGCACUGGUGAUCCGGUCGCAAAGGCCGGGAACCGGGAAGCGGCGGCCAGUAGGAGGAGCGGUGUCCGCACCGCCCGCGCCCCCGAGUCCGAAGACCU
Molecule: non-coding RNA, 163 nt
Filed under: Nocardiopsis sp.
Lineage: Bacteria; Bacillati; Actinomycetota; Actinomycetes; Streptosporangiales; Nocardiopsidaceae
Source: RNAcentral